GCGGCAUGCCUUACACAUGCAAGUCGAACGGUAGAGGGGCAACCCUUGAGAGUGGCGAACGGGUGAGUAAUAUAUCGGAACGUGCCCAGUCGUGGGGGAUAACGCAGCGAAAGCUGCGCUAAUACCGCAUACGAUCUAAGGAUGAAAGCGGGGGAUCGCAAGACCUCGCGCGAUUGGAGCGGCCGAUAUCAGAUUAGGUGGUUGGUGGGGUAAAAGCCCACCAAGCCGACGAUCUGUAGCUGGUCUGAGAGGACGACCAGCCACACUGGGACUGAGACACGGCCCAGACUCCUACGGGAGGCAGCAGUGGGGAAUUUUGGACAAUGGGCGCAAGCCUGAUCCAGCAAUGCCGCGUGCAGGACGAAGGCCUUCGGGUUGUAAACUGCUUUUGUACGGAGCGAAACGGUCUGGGUUAAUACCCUGGGCUAAUGACGGUACCGUAAGAAUAAGCACCGGCUAACUACGUGCCAGCAGCCGCGGUAAUACGUAGGGUGCGAGCGUUAAUCGGAAUUACU
RNAcentral lists this ribosomal RNA (515 nucleotides) under uncultured Nitrosomonas sp. RNAcentral describes it as "bacterial SSU rRNA". It matches the Rfam family "Bacterial small subunit ribosomal RNA", at positions 39 to 555 of the family's 1533-position model. The record is from RNAcentral. Lineage: Bacteria; Pseudomonadati; Pseudomonadota; Betaproteobacteria; Nitrosomonadales; Nitrosomonadaceae.